AAUGAACGCUGGCGGCGUGGAUUAGGCAUGCAAGUCGAACGCGAAAGCGGGGGCAACUCCGCGAGUAGAGUGGCGCAAGGGUGAGUAAUGCUUGGAUGACCUGCCUUCGAGACGGGGACAACAGUUCGAAAGGACUGCUAAUACCCGAUGGCCCUUUCCGGAUGCGUCCGGAACGGUAAAUGGUUGAUUCCGCUCGAUGAGGGGUCCAAGUCCUAUCAGCUAGUUGGUGAGGUGACGGCUCACCAAGGCGAUGACGGGUAGCCGGACUGAGAGGUCGACCGGCCACAUGGGAACUGAGACACUGUCCUGACUCCUACGGGAGGCUGCAGUCGAGAAUCUUCUGCAAUGGGCGCAAGCCUGACAGAGCGACGCCGCGUGGAGGACGAAGGCCCUCGGGUUGUAAACUCCUGUCGCACGUUAUGAACCGCACGGGUCCACCCGUGCCUGACAAAAGCGUGAGAGGAAGUCACGGCUAACUUCGUGC
Molecule: ribosomal RNA, 484 nt
Filed under: uncultured bacterium
Lineage: Bacteria
Description: bacterial SSU rRNA
Rfam family: Bacterial small subunit ribosomal RNA
Source: RNAcentral